RNAcentral lists this ribosomal RNA (403 nucleotides) under uncultured Pseudomonas sp. Its description in RNAcentral is "bacterial SSU rRNA". It matches the Rfam family "Bacterial small subunit ribosomal RNA", at positions 980 to 1382 of the family's 1533-position model. Lineage: Bacteria; Pseudomonadati; Pseudomonadota; Gammaproteobacteria; Pseudomonadales; Pseudomonadaceae. The record is from RNAcentral.
CCUGACAUGCAGAGAACUUCCAGAGAUGGAUUGGUGCCUUCGGGAACUCUGACACAGGUGCUGCAUGGCUGUCGUCAGCUCGUGUCGUGAGAUGUUGGGUUAAGUCCCGUAACGAGCGCAACCCUUGUCCUUAGUUACCAGCACGUUAUGGUGGGCACUCUAAGGAGACUGCCGGUGACAAGCCGGAGGAAGGUGGGGGAUGACGUCAAGUCAUCAUGGCCCUUACGGCCUGGGCUACACACGUGCUACAAUGGUCGGUACAAAGGGUUGCCAAGCCGCGAGGUGGAGCUAAUCCCAUAAAACCGAUCGUAGUCCGGAUCGCAGUCUGCAACUCGACUGCGUGAAGUCGGAAUCGCUAGUAAUCGUGAAUCAGAAUGUCACGGUGAAUACGUUCCCGGGCCUU